This is an RNA transcript of Myzus persicae (green peach aphid), 2190 nucleotides long. RefSeq lists it as uncharacterized. The record is from RefSeq and is a predicted model, not a curated record. The transcript has 7 exons. Lineage: Eukaryota; Metazoa; Arthropoda; Insecta; Hemiptera; Aphididae.
ACGACGACCGUCUGGUUCGAGUGACAACUUGACGAUUCGGUUUGAAUUUUGGUGGAGAAUAGCGACGGCGACUGAAUGCCCACUAACAUCGAUUCUAUCCCUUAUUAUUCGCCACUUACAGGUGAUUACUCGGGUACAGGACAGGUGGUACGAGUUUCAACAGUUUCAUACAUGUGACGUAUAACGGCCUCGCAAUUCACUGUAGGGCCAAUAACACUCAUAUGAGUAUUAUCGUUAUAGUAUAAUAUUAUUUGGCGAGUACGAACGACACACGGCACGACCGACCACUGUAUCGGAAACGUCGCAAUGCCGGCGAAACGAAUUAACGCAGGCUAUGGAGGUGUGGAGGCACAACGACGGACAAGGCGGCACUACAACUCAUGUUGCGUAAAACACAAUGCCGUCUCGAACAUAGGUAAAAGACAACGAAGGGGCGUAUAUCGGCUGGAAAAAACAACGCUACGACGGCAGUAGUCCAGCAAAGGUCGUUGGAUGACUGAUGAGGUUAAGUGUCUGCGGUGUCCACGGUGGAAGUGCGUUAUCGGCAACGGCAUACAAGGUGAACGGAGCGGACGGCAUAUAUAUUAGACGCAAUGUCUGUGCCUCGAUCGCGGUGUGCGAACAAUGUAUGGUUAAAAUAGAUCAGAUUCUGAAAAUAGUAAUAAUAACGUGCUUAAAAAUUGAUACAAUUAAAAAAGUAUAAAGAAAGUAGACCCUCACUUUUUAAAAAAGAAACGUUAUCCUAAUAAAUUGUCUUCAGGUAAACUAUUUAUUAUUUAUUAUGCAACUAAAAGUACCUAAAAGUUAUAAUAAUUAUUAUUUUCGAAUCAGUUACAUUUAUACCAUAUCACCAAUAUGCAGAAGGAAAAAAAAGAGGUUUCGUUGUUGAAAAUAAUAAUUCAUCAUCUGAACUAGAUAAGGACUUUUAUAUUCUACUUACAUUCAAUAGUCUACGUGCAAAAUGUUCAUGGUGCAAUGAAAAUGAUGGAAAAGAAAUAUUGUGUGAAUGCUGUGUCUGUUAUAGAAAAUAUCAUGAUUAUUGUCAUAUUCCUAUAAUUGUUUCCAGGUGGCAGGGUUGGGCGAAAAAUCGCUGAGCCUAUUUUAAUGGAAUAGUACUGUAACCUCGGAAGCAGUGAUAUUUUCAAAAAACGUCCUAUAAAGAAGUUGUUGAUGAUACAAAUUUUGAUUUAGCAAGGAAAUCUAUAACUUAUCUAUGCAGUUUGUACCAAACAUUUAUCAAUGAUCCCACAAGAAAUAAGCAAUGGACUGUAGUCUGUCCAGAUUCCGAAAAAAGACAAGCUUGAAUGCAUCUGUAACUGACCAUGAAACGAAUAACAGAAAUAACAGCUAUGCAGAGGUGUGUACAUUGUAUUAUUGUAUACAAAUUUAUUUUUACACUGCUUUAUGAUAAUAUUAUGUUUGUUCAUUUAUUUUUGUCGAUAUUUUAUACUCGAUUGGACAAGCUCGUAUAAAAAUAUAACUGCAUCGACCGUCAAUAUUCCGGUCCUACCAUCCACACAGUAAAGGUUCAUGUUUUGAAAAAAACGGUGUAAAGUUUAUAUUUAAACAUAACAAGACACCUCAACCGCACAACUCAUGAUGGGGGAGUACUUGGCACGGAUGUUUGUUUGUGUCCACUUGGAUCCUAUUGGGUACCAUAAUGCACCCUCACAGUCUUUGCCUUCACUGCGGUACGCUGCAUUGGUGCAGUGCGACGCAAUUAUCGUGCAUAUCUAUGGGCAUUGGGCACUUUAUAGAGAACACAAAAGAAACCAGCUUGAUAAAAUGGAAUAAACAAAUUAACCGAAAAACAUUAACAAUGGAGAGAAUGAAAAUUGAAACUACAACGAUGGCGGUUGCAACAAUUUGUAAAAAACAGGGUCCCUUGUUUCUACUUAGUACAUUUUUCUAGUUAUGAUUUACAAUACAUAAUAUGUAACUUCAUUUUGCUUCUUAAUACGGGGAUGUUUAUUGUAUAGGAGGGCAAACUUCUAUUUCAUUUUGAAAUUAUGAAACACUACACAUGAUAUUAUCUUAAGCAUCAUGGAGAAAAUAAAAUUAUGUUUGGAAGUCAAAGACUCAAUUAACAAAAAUCAAUCUGAACAUAUUUAAGUUUCAGUUUUUAUUAAGAUUUUUUUAUACACAAUAAACUUAAUGGAAAUCUUUUUUUUAAACUAAAUGUUUUUCUUA